Molecule: transfer RNA, 76 nt
Filed under: Dehalococcoidia bacterium
Lineage: Bacteria; Bacillati; Chloroflexota; Dehalococcoidia
Description: tRNA-Arg
Rfam family: tRNA
About the family: Transfer RNA (tRNA) molecules are approximately 80 nucleotides in length. Their secondary structure includes four short double-helical elements and three loops (D, anti-codon, and T loops).
Source: RNAcentral
GCGCCUGUAGCUCAGCGGAUAGAGCGCAGCCCUGCGGAGGCUGAGGCCGUGGGUUCAAAUCCCACCAGGCGUGCCA